AUGCGGGUGGCAUAUUGUUAAAUCAAAUAGACAAAUAUAAUACUAUUCUAACAAUAAUUAAACAAUGACUAAGCGAAUUCCUUACAAUUAUUUUACGUUAAUUCACUCUAAAUUUAACAAUAGUAAAUUUCAACAUUCUUUUGAUAGCAUCAUAAAAAUAAUAACAAUGGAAAUCAUUCAAACACAUAUAAAAGUUGAGCAAUUUUAUAUUAUUGGAAUCAAGUCCCACAUGAUUGUGAUGUUAUUCUAUACAAAGAAAAAUUAAAAAUUACCUCUUGACGAAAGUAAUAUACAAUCAAAAGAAAGAAAAAGCUAUGAACUCGGAAUCGCGAGCGAAAC
This 339-nucleotide long non-coding RNA is filed under the name Capsicum annuum. RNAcentral's name for it is "long non-coding RNA (CANN_LNC013628)". The record is from RNAcentral. Lineage: Eukaryota; Viridiplantae; Streptophyta; Magnoliopsida; Solanales; Solanaceae.